This 1008-nucleotide ribosomal RNA is filed under the name Lysinibacillus sp. Its description in RNAcentral is "bacterial SSU rRNA". It matches the Rfam family "Bacterial small subunit ribosomal RNA", at positions 39 to 1057 of the family's 1533-position model. The record is from RNAcentral. Lineage: Bacteria; Bacillati; Bacillota; Bacilli; Caryophanales; Bacillaceae.
GCUGCCCGCAGAACUGCAAGUCGAGCGACGGAGAAAGAGCUUGCUCCUUAGACGUUAGCGGCGGACGGGUGAGUAACACGUGGGCAACCUGCCCUAUAGAUUGGGAUAACUCCGGGAAACCGGGGCUAAUACCGAAUAAUCUUUUUAACCGCAUGGUUAAACAUUGAAAGGCGGUUUCGGCUGUCACUUUUGGAUGGGCCCGCGGCGCAUUAGCUAGUUGGUGAGGUAACGGCUCACCAAGGCAACGAUGCGUAGCCGACCUGAGAGGGUGAUCGGCCACACUGGGACUGAGACACGGCCCAGACUCCUACGGGAGGCAGCAGUAGGGAAUCUUCCACAAUGGACGAAAGCCUGAUGGAGCAACGCCGCGUGAGUGAAGAAGGUUUUCGGAUCGUAAAACUCUGUUGUAAGGGAAGAACAAGUGCUAUUUUAAUUGGCUGUGCCCCUUGGGACCCUAUCCAAAAAGCCCCGGUAUAUCACCUUGCCACAGCCCGGGUAAUUCCUGAGGUGGCAACGUUUUUCGGAAUUUAUGGGGCUAAAACGGCCGCAGGGUGUCCUCUAAGUCUUAUGUGAAAGCCCCCGGCUUCACCGUGGAGGGCUCUUUGAAAACGGGAAAUUUGAAUGGCAAAGAAGAAAGUGGAAUUCCAAGUGGAACGGUUAAAUGGCUUAAAGUUUUGGAGAAACCCAGUUGCCAAAGCCACUUUUUGGUCCGGAACUUAACCCUGAGCCCCAAACCUGGGGAAUUAAAACCCGUGUUUUUCCCGGUAAUCCCCCCCCUUAACGAUGAAUUGCUAGUGGUAGGGGUUUCCGCCCUUAGUGCUGCAGCUAAACGCAUUAAGCGGGGGAGUACGGGGGAGUACGGUCGGCAGACUGGAAACUCAAAGAAUGACGGGGGCCCGCACCAGCGGUGAGCAUGUGGGUGAAACGAGCACGCGAGACUUACAGUCUGGACUUCGCUGAAACUGUAAGAUAUGCUUCUCCUCGGAAGGGGGUCCAUGGUGUUGGUCA